This 27-nucleotide ribosomal RNA is filed under the name Platanus occidentalis var. palmeri. RNAcentral describes it as "partial 25S ribosomal RNA". The record is from RNAcentral. Lineage: Eukaryota; Viridiplantae; Streptophyta; Magnoliopsida; Proteales; Platanaceae.
GCGACCCCAGGUCAGGUGGGGCCACCC